AUUGAACGCUAGCGGCAGGCCUAACACAUGCAAGUCGAACGAGUGGCGGACGUGUGAGUAAUGACUGUGAAACUGCCUGAUGGAGGGGGAUAACUACUGGAAACGGUAGCUAAUACCGCAUACCAUCGGAUGUGCCCAGAUGGGAUUAGGUAGUAGGUGGGGUAAAGGCUCACCUAGGCGACGAUCCCUAGCUGGUCUGAGAGGAGGACCAGCCACACCUGAAAUGAGACAAGGUCCAGACUCCUACGGGAGGCAGCAGUGGGGAAUAUUUCACAAUGGGGGCAAGCCUGAUUCAGCCAUGCCGCGUGUGUGAUGAAGGCCUUCGGGUUGUAAAGUACUUUCAGCGGGGAGGCGUUACCUGCAGAAGAAGCACCGGCUAACUCCGUGCCAGCAGCCGCGGUAAUUC
Molecule: ribosomal RNA, 406 nt
Filed under: uncultured bacterium
Lineage: Bacteria
Description: partial 16S ribosomal RNA
Rfam family: Bacterial small subunit ribosomal RNA
Source: RNAcentral